This 301-nucleotide ribosomal RNA is filed under the name uncultured bacterium. RNAcentral describes it as "partial 16S ribosomal RNA". It matches the Rfam family "Bacterial small subunit ribosomal RNA", at positions 509 to 807 of the family's 1533-position model. The record is from RNAcentral.
CAGCCGCCACGGUAAUACGAAGGGGGCUAGCGUUGUUCGGAUUUACUGGGCGUAAAGGGCGCGUAGGCGGACUGAUAAGUCAGGGGUGAAAUCCCAAGGCUCAACCUUGGAACUGCCUUUGAUACUGUUUGUCUUGAGUUCGAGAGAGGUAAGUGGAACUGCGAGUGUAGAGGUGAAAUUCGUAGAUAUUCGGAAGAACACCAGUGGCGAAGGCGACUGACUGGACAAGUAUUGACGCUGAGGUGCGAAAGCGUGGGGAGCGAACAGGAUUAGAUACCCGCGUAGUCCCUGUCUCUUAUAC